Molecule: ribosomal RNA, 253 nt
Filed under: uncultured bacterium
Lineage: Bacteria
Description: partial 16S ribosomal RNA
Rfam family: Bacterial small subunit ribosomal RNA
Source: RNAcentral
UACGUGGGGGGCGAGCGUUGUUCGGAAUUAUUGGGCGUAAAGGGUUCGUAGGCGGUUUGGUAAGUCUCGUGUGAAAUCUCCGGGCUCAACUCGGAGCCUGCACGAGAAACUGCCGGGCUUGAGUGUGGGAGAGGUGAGUGGAAUUCCUGGUGUAGCGGUGAAAUGCGUAGAUAUCAGGAGGAACACCAGUGGCGAAGGCGGCUACCUGGACAGAUACUGACGCUGAGGAGCGAGAGCGUGGGGAGCAAACAGG